AGUGAACGCUGGCGGCGUGCCUAAUACAUGCAAGUCGAACGGUAACAGGAAGUAGCUUGCUACUUUGCUGAUUAGUGGCGCACGGGUGAGUAAUGCAUAGGUCAUGUGCCCCAUAGUCUGGGAUAGCCACUGGAAACGGUGAUUAAUACUGGAUACUCCCGAGAGGGGAAAGUUUUUCGCUAUGGGAUCAGCCUAUGUCCUAUCAGCUUGUUGGUGAGGUAAUGGCUCACCAAGGCUAUGACGGGUAUCCGGCCUGAGAGGGUGAACGGACACACUGGAACUGAGGCACGGUCCAGACUCCUACGGGAGGCAGCAGUAGGGAAUAUUGCUCAAUGGGGGAAACCCUGAAGCAGCAACGCCGCGUGGAGGUUGAAGGUCUUCGGAUUGUAAACUCCUUUUCUAAGAGAAGAUUAUGACGGUAUCUGAGGAAUAAGCACCGGCUAACUCCGUG
RNAcentral lists this ribosomal RNA (451 nucleotides) under uncultured bacterium. RNAcentral's name for it is "partial 16S ribosomal RNA". It matches the Rfam family "Bacterial small subunit ribosomal RNA", at positions 29 to 507 of the family's 1533-position model. The record is from RNAcentral.